Molecule: RNA transcript, 5627 nt
Organism: Symphalangus syndactylus (siamang)
Lineage: Eukaryota; Metazoa; Chordata; Mammalia; Primates; Hylobatidae
Source: RefSeq, a predicted model, not a curated record
ACAGAAAGGGCGGCUCCCCCUGCCUCUGCAGCUGGGUGUGCGUCCCGGGAGCUGAGAGCCUUGCCCCCUGCUCCAUCCUUCUCUUUUGGGGGUCUCUUCAGUGUCAGGACUUGGAGAGCCUGGGCGCGGGACUUGAUCAGAGAGGCCUUGAGUGCAGUGGGUGCUUAUCUGGUGUCUGUGGCCCUGAGGUCUGGGACAGACAUUGCUGGUCUUUCUGGGCCACACCCACGGGGCCUGCCAGCCCCCCUGGGCUUGGCACAGUGGAGGGGAGACACACCCAAGGCCCUGGAUGUGCCCGGCUCUCUGCAGCUGUGGGUGCCUCAGGCUGGCCGCUGAUGGGUCUCAGUUUCUGAGGGGGUGGCAGUGAAGUUGCAGAGAAGAAACCUACGAAGGUGCCCUGUCAACUGCCACACGCCCAGAUGCACGUCGACAGCCCAUCACCGCCUCUUGCCUGUCCUCCCUGGGGACCAGCAGGUCAUGGGAGGUGGCUUGUCAAGGGGAGACACAUUUGGAUGACACCAAGCCGAGCUUCCUGUCUUGAGGCUGUUUCUGCUUUCUCAUCUUCCUGCUAAUGAGUUGCCUUUCGUGUGUCCCCUUCAUCUCUCUUCCUCGGGAUGACCUGCACCCCCAUGACCUCACUCUCCACCUGGUUACUGAUGGCUCCCAGAUCCACGCCUCCAGCUGGGCCUCUGCAGAGCAUGAUCCCACCAGACACUCCACGCGGCAGGGACUGUUCAGACUCACUGCUUUUCUCCCCACGCCUGCGCCUCCUCCUGAAAUCCACCUCUGUUCAAUGAGACCCUCCACCCAGAUGAGCAUGAGCCCAGCCAGGGUGGGCUGUUCAGUUUCUUCCCUGGGAAUCUGGAGCUGGAUUGAGCUGGUCUGCAGCCUGGGCUGAGAGCCCAGCAGGCUCGAGACACCGCAACCUGGCCUGGCCGUGGGCAGGCAGGGAGUGGAGAUUGCAGCAUCGACUGGGCAGAGGAGCUGGGGCGUUUACCAGAAGUCUCCAGCAGGCCAUCUGGUCCCAGAGAGCAGAGCACACAGCCUCAAGAAAUACGAGAAAGGCGGCAGGGGCAGGUGAGCUACAAAGAGGGCUCCCCUGGGCAGUUUCAUUUUUAGGGGAUUGCUUCAUAUAUCUUCAGACCUUCAGGGUUUUAAUGUGUUUGAAGCUGUGCAGCGAAGCCCAAGUUCCUCUAUGUGACCUUGCAACCCCUCUGGGCCUUGGCCGGCUGCCACUCUGCCCCUUGCCUGCCCUCCAGACUCCGGUAAACAUCAGCAAAGCUGGAUGGAGAGGAACCGUGGAUGAGGAUGAAGUGGGGAGUAGGUCCUCCAAGUCCUUCCAAAGCCACCUCAUCCUUCCAGCUAGCUCCAGGCAGGAGCAGCAAGCUCCCUGUGCUGUCCCGCAUCAAACAGGCAAGGACAGCUGGACACGGAGAGAAGAGGCUGCAGGAGAAGUGAAAUCACCUCCACAGCCCAGGCGAGGCAGCAGCCAGGGGUGCCUGUCUGCCAGCUGUGCAGGAAAGACCCCUUCCCCACCAUUCCCCGCUGGUCGGGGAGAGCCACACUUGCUUUUACUUAUACUCAGUAGGUGUGAUUAGCAAUGUGAGUCUAGGAGGUUUUGUUUCUCAAACUAGAAACCUUGGGUGGCACCCUUGUUGGGGUAACAGUGAGAGGUGUGGGUGACAGAGGGGAGGGGCCUUGCCGCUUCCUUGCUCUUGGCAGGGGGAGCUGGCUGGUGGAUGAUUCAUUCAUUCAGCAAUUGUUUAUCUAGAGGAAAUGAUGGGCAAAGGCCCUGUGGGGUGGGCAGUGUCAUAUGAGGUGUCAGGAGAUGGCUGCAAAGGAGAGGAGCUUGCAGGGGUUAAGGCAGCUGAGGGACCUUAACCUGAGGUGGCACCUGGCUUAGCUCUCAUAGCUGUGGUUGCUGCUUUUACAGUAGAUUAGAUCUUCCCGAAGCAUGGCAAGAAAGAAUAGUUGGGACAGGCUAGGUUUAUGAGCAGAAUGCAACCUUUGGCAAAACCCCGUAAAAUACUCUGUAGCUUAAAAAAUCCCCAGGCCACAGCUAACUAUAGUUUGUGCUCCUAAACCAGUUCAACAGAAGCGCUUGACAUGACUGCUGAUCUGGGUGGCAGGUGGUGGCUGUCUGCACCCUAGGCUGCAGGGAGGAUGGCCCCGGGAGCCCGCAGACCACAGACACCAACAGAGGCCCGGGUUGGGGUGGGCGGUACCAGAGGCAGCUGCGGAGGACUCUUGGAGAUGCUCCCUCUGCUCCUCCUUUCGCCACCAGGGGCCUGAAAAGGGAUUUCCUUCUGUGGGAAAAUCCAGAUCGGCCUCCCUGUCACCUCUUCCUCACCCUCAUUCGUUCCUCCCCCUGGGAUAAUCUGACUGUGCCUGUGGAUCCAGAGUGGAUCCUGUCAGUUCUCAUCCUACGGAUCGCUGAGGUCCUGCACCUUUCGCUUGGCCAUGCUCAGCUCCAGGGCUCCCUCCCGCCUUGCCUUUACCCUGGGACUGCUCUCUGCCUCCUUGGCUGGGUCCUCUCCUCGGGCUCCCUUCUUCAGUAGCAAGGACCUUAGGUCCUCAUUCUUGAGCCUCUUCUCUCCCAACCAGACCCUUGUACCUGAGCUUGUCCACUCCCGAGGAGAACAGACAUGUGCCCAGGCCUCGGAAAGCUGUUGUUUCUAGGCUUCCUCUCUGUAAAGUUUCUGAUUCAUAUAACUCAUUGUAGGAAUUGCGACUGGACAUCCAGGGGCAUCUCAACUCCAUUGUGUCCCAAACUGAACUGGUCCCCUUUCCCCCACAUCCCCGCCCCUCCUUCAGUAUCCUCUACUCGGAGAGUAAUGUCACCUCCUAAACACCCAGCCCAGAAGCCCUGGGGUCAGAGGAAUGCAGGCUUUGGAGUCACCCACCAGACUCAAAUCCUGGCUCUACCACCUCCUGUGUGAUCCUAGCAAGUUCCUGAGCCUCUCUGUGCCUUAGUUUCCCAGAUAGCGUCAGUGCUCCUCUUAUAGACUUCUAGUGAGGAAACAAUGAGAUAUUCCGUUAGAAGUGGCCAUACAGAUAGCACUCAGUAAAAAUGAGCUGUUAUUAAUCCCUUUCCCCCAACACACACACACACACACACACACACACACACACACACACACACACUCAGCCAGUGAUUCAGUCCUGUGGGCUCCACCUCAUCUCCAGAUCCAGGUCCCAUUCACUGCCACAGUGGUGGCUCUGACCUUCCCCAUUCCUACCCUCAGCAGCUGCAGUCGCCUCCUUACUGGUCUUUCUUCCUCCAUGGUCUCCCUGCUCCCAUCUCGGUGAAUAAUUUCUUUUUAACAACAACAACAAAAAGCUUUAUUGAGAUAUAAUUCACAUAUCAUACAAGUCAAUCAUUUAAAAUGUAGAAUUCAAUGGCUUUUAACAUUCAUUGAGUUAUGUGACCACCUCCACAACCGAUUUUUUUUCUUUUUUUUUUUUUUUUUUUGAGACGGAGUCUCUCUCUGUCGCCCAGGCUGGAGUGCAGUGGCGCAAUCUCGGCUCACUGCAAGCUCCGCCUCCCAGGUUCACGCCAUUCUCCUGCCUCAGCCUCCCGAGUAGCUGGGACUACAGGCGCCCGCCACCAUGCCCGGCUAAUUUUUGUAUUUUUAGAAGAGAUGGGGUUUCACCAUGUUGGUCAGGAUGGUCUCAAUCUCUUGACCUUGUGAUCUGCCCGCCUUGACCUCCCAAAGUGCUGGGAUUACAGGUGUGAGCCACCACGCCCAGCCUUACAACCGAUUUUGUAGCACAUUUUCAUCACUCCAAAAAGAAACCCUGUGUGCAUUACCACUUACUCCUCAUUCCUGCCUCCUGACCCUCUCCCAUCCCUAGGCAGCCACUAAUCUACUGUCUGCCUCUAUAGAUUUGCCUAUCCUGGACAUUUCAUAUUAAGGGAACCCUAUACUAUGUGGUCUUUUGUGGCUAGCUUCUUUCACUUAGCAUAUUGCAAGGCUCAUCCUCGUUGUAACAUGUAGCAUUCCUUCUUACGGCCAGAUAACAUUCCAUUGUGUGGAUAUACUAGGCCACAUUUUGUGUAUCCAUUCACCAGCUGAACUGAAUAAUACAUGGGUUGUUUUCAUUUCUUAACUAUUACACACAGUCCAUACAAAAUGCUGCUAUGAAAUUCCUAUACAGGUUUCUGUGUGGACAUAUGUUUUUGUUGCUCUAUAUACCUAGUGGUCAUAUUAGUCAUAUGGUAACUCUAUGUCACUUUUGGAGGAACUGGCAAACUGUUUUCCAAAGUGGCUGUGCUAUUUCACAAUCCUCCCUGUAAAGUGUGAGGGUUCCACUUUCUCCACGUCCUCACCGACACUCAUUACCAUCUGUCUUUUUGACUGUGGCCAUCCUAAUGCCUGUGAAGUGGUAUCUCAUGGUUUUGAUUUGCAUUUGCCUGAUGGCUAAUGGUGUUCAGCAGCUUUUCAUGUACUCAUUGACCAUUUAUGUAUCUUCCUUGAGAAAUGUCUAUUCAGAUCCCUUGCCCGUUUUAAAUUAGAAUAUUUAUAUUUUUAUUAUUGGUUUGUGAGAGUUCUUCAUAUAUGCUAGAGACAAGUCUCUUAGGCGUAUGAUUUACAAAACUUUUCUCCAUUCUGUGGGUUGUUUUUUCACUGGCUUAAUAGUGUCUUUUAAAAUACAAAAGUUUUUAAUUUGAAUGAAGCCCAAUUUAUCCAUGUUUUUCCUUUGGUUGCUUGUACUUUUGGUGUCAUAUUUUAAAAACCAUUGCCUACCUUGAUGUCAAAAUUUAUGUCUAUAAUGUGGAGAAAAGAGGACUCUUAGAUGCUAUUGGUGGGGAAAUAAAUUAGUUUAGCAAUUCUGGAAAACAGUAUGGGAGUUUCUCAACAACUAAAAGUAGAAUUACCAUACAAUCCAGCAAUCCCACUACUGGGUAUUUAUUCAAAGAAAAGGAAAUCAAUAUAUUAAAGGAAUACCUGCACCACCCUUGUCUAUUUACAAUAGCCAAGAUACGGAAUCAAGCUAAAAGUCCAUCAACAGAUGAAUGAAUUAAAAACUGUAGUAUAUGUAUACACAAUGGAAUACUAGUUAGCCAUGAAACAAUACAAUUCUGUUAUUUGCAGAAACAUGGAGGGACCUAGAGAUCAUUGUGUUAGUGAAAUAAACCAGACACAGAACUACAAAUGUCCUCUCACUCAUAUGUGGGAGCUAAAGAAGUUGAUCUCAUGUCUCAUGGAGGUAGAGAGUAGAAUGAUAGUUACCAGAGGCUGGGAAAGUGGGUGGGAUGAAGAGAGGUUGAGCUACUGGGUACAAACAUACAGUCAGACAGAAGGAAUAAGUUCUAGUGUUCAAUAGCACAGCAGGGUGACUAUAGUUAAUAAUUUAUUGUACAUUUCAAAAUAGGGAAAUGUGAAAAGUUCCCAACACAAAGAAUCGAUGAACUUUUGAGGUGGUGGAUAUUCCAGUUACUCUGAUUUGAUCAUUACACAUUGUAGGCAUGUGUCAAAAUAUCACAUGUACCCCAUAAAUAUGUACAAUUAUUAUGUAUCAGUAAAAAAACGUAUGACUGUAUUUUCUGCAAAGAAGUUGUAUUAGUUGGAGUUCUCUAGAGGGAUAGAACUAAUAGGAUAUAUAUAUAAGCUUAUUAAGUAUUA